This 722-nucleotide ribosomal RNA is filed under the name uncultured Fusobacterium sp. RNAcentral's name for it is "bacterial SSU rRNA". It matches the Rfam family "Bacterial small subunit ribosomal RNA", at positions 28 to 776 of the family's 1533-position model. The record is from RNAcentral. Lineage: Bacteria; Fusobacteriati; Fusobacteriota; Fusobacteriia; Fusobacteriales; Fusobacteriaceae.
GAUGAACGCUGACAGAAUGCUUAACACAUGCAAGUCAACUUGAACUUCGGUUUGGGUGGCGGACGGGUGAGUAACGCGUGAAGAACUUGCCUCACAGUUAGGGACAACAUUUGGAAACGAAUGCUAAUACCUGAUAUUAUGAUUUUAGGGCAUCCUAGAAUUAUGAAAGCUAUAUGCGCUGUGAGAGAGCUUUGCGUCCCAUUAGCUAGUUGGAGAGGUAACGGCUCACCAAGGCGAUGAUGGGUAGCCGGCCUGAGGGGGUGAACGGCCACAAGGGGACUGAGACACGGCCCUUACUCCUACGGGAGGCAGCAGUGGGGAAUAUUGGACAAUGGACCAAGAGUCUGAUCCAGCAAUUCUGUGUGCACGAUGAAGUUUUUCGGAAUGUAAAGUGCUUUCAGUUGGGAAGAAAAAAAUGACGGUACCAACAGAAGAAGUGACGGCUAAAUACGUGCCAGCAGCCGCGGUAAUACGUAUGUCACAAGCGUUAUCCGGAUUUAUUGGGCGUAAAGCGCGUCUAGGUGGUUAUAUAAGUCUGAUGUGAAAAUGCAGGGCUCAACUCUGUAUUGCGUUGGAAACUGUGUAACUAGAGUACUGGAGAGGUAAGCGGAACUACGAGUGUAGAGGUGAAAUUCGUAGAUAUUUGUAGGAAUGCCGAUGGGGAAGCCAGCUUACUGGACAGAUACUGACGCUAAAGCGCGAAAGCGUGGGUAGCAAACAGG